This 305-nucleotide ribosomal RNA is filed under the name uncultured bacterium. RNAcentral describes it as "bacterial SSU rRNA". It matches the Rfam family "Bacterial small subunit ribosomal RNA", at positions 335 to 633 of the family's 1533-position model. The record is from RNAcentral.
AUACCUACGGGGCGCAGCAGUAGGGAAUUUUCGUCAAUGGGCGCAAGCCUGAACGAGCAAUGCCGCGUGAACGAGGAAGGUCUUCGGAUCGUAAAGUUCUGUUGAAGGGGAAAAAGAGCGGAGAGAGGAAAUGGUCUCCGAUCGAUAUUACCCUUCGAGGAAGCCACGGCUAACUACGUGCCAGCAGCCGCGGUAAUACGUAGGUGGCGAGCGUUAUCCGGAAUGAUUGGGCGUAAAGGGUGCGUAGGCGGCCUGAUAAGUCUGGAGUGAAAGGCACCGGCUAAACCGGUACAGUAUCUGGAAAA